RNAcentral lists this non-coding RNA (187 nucleotides) under Siminovitchia thermophila. RNAcentral describes it as "6S / SsrS RNA". It matches the Rfam family "6S / SsrS RNA". From Rfam's summary of the family: E. coli 6S RNA was the first non coding RNA to be sequenced, but its function was unknown until recently. The record is from RNAcentral. RNAcentral also lists the same sequence under 3 other names. Lineage: Bacteria; Bacillati; Bacillota; Bacilli; Caryophanales; Bacillaceae.
AAAGUCCUGAUGUGUUCGUCUCCAUACCUUAUCGUUUUGACCGACAAGUUUUAAAUACGGGAGCCUGGCGUUUCCCGGCUGAUGGCAAGCCUUUGUGAAAAGGAAGCUUGAAGCCUGGAACAGGGCACCCACCUGCCGAGAGCGGGUUCAAAACAAAGGAUUCAAAGACGGCACGAUUGGGACUUUU